RNAcentral lists this unclassified non-coding RNA (192 nucleotides) under uncultured fungus. RNAcentral's name for it is "sequence contains ITS1". Lineage: Eukaryota; Fungi. The record is from RNAcentral.
UUAAUUAUUAUAUAAUACUCUGACAAAAAUUACAAAAAUUAAGGGUUCUCUGGCAGGCUCGAACUAGCAAUAGCCAGUAGUUUUAUAACAGGCCUGCCAAAGCAACAUAGGGUAUUGUAAACAGAGGGUGGGAGAUAUACCCUAAAGGGCAAUUUCUCUGUAAUGAUCCUUCCGCAGGUUCACCUACGGAAA